CCCUUAGAUGUUCUGGGCCGCACACGCGCUACACUGAAGGAGGCAGCGUGUACUCCUGGAUCGAAAGAUUUGGGUAACCCGCGAAUCUCCUUCGUGCUAGGGAUUGAGGUUUGCAAUUAUCCUUCAUGAACGAGGAAUUCUCAGUAAGUGCAAGUCAUAAGCUUGCGCUGACUACGUCCCUGCCCUUUGUACACACCGCCCGUCGCUACUACCGAUUGAAUGAUUUAGUGAGGACUUCGGACUGGGACCGAUGCGGCUUUCGGGCUGCGUCGGUAUUCUGGAAAGAUGUCCAAACUGUAUCAUUUAGAGGAAGUAAAANUCGUANCA
RNAcentral lists this ribosomal RNA (327 nucleotides) under uncultured eukaryote. Its description in RNAcentral is "partial 18S ribosomal RNA". It matches the Rfam family "Eukaryotic small subunit ribosomal RNA", at positions 1470 to 1796 of the family's 1831-position model. The record is from RNAcentral.